This 519-nucleotide ribosomal RNA is filed under the name Triticum aestivum (bread wheat). Its description in RNAcentral is "partial small subunit ribosomal RNA". The record is from RNAcentral. Lineage: Eukaryota; Viridiplantae; Streptophyta; Magnoliopsida; Poales; Poaceae.
AUGCAGUUGGUCUCAUUAGGUCACAUUGCCAUUAAGGUUAAUGGCCAGGUGAGCAAAUUCUUUGCCAAUGGUAGGGGCCUGCAGCAGGGGGAUCCGGCCUCGCCUAUCCUUUUUUAUUUUGUUGCGGAUGCUCUGUCUCGUUUGCUUUCUAGGGCAGCUGCCUCGGGGCAUAUCUCUCUAGUCAGUUCUCAUCUUAUCCCCUCUGGUCUGACCCAUCUCCAAUUCGCGAACGACACUAUUAUCAUGGUUGAGCUGAAUGAUGCCUGCCUACCACACCUAAAGUUUAUUCUUCUUUGCUUCGAGGCGUUGUCGGGGCUUAAGAUUAAUUUUGCCAAAAGUGAAGUGGUGGUUACGGGAGUGGACCAUUCAGAAGCCAUGCGAGUGGCUCACCUUCAUAAUUGUAAGCUGGGCUCCUAUCCUUUCAAGUACCUAGGUCUUCCUAUCUCCCCGGAUGUGCUUCAUGCUAAAUAUUUUGCCCCAGAUGGGCAACAGGGUUCUACCCUGGCGGGGCAGAUAUAA